AUCGCUUCUCGGCUCUCUGAGCUAAGAUCAUGUGUAGUAUCUGUUCUUUGCAGUGUAAUUUCUGCAACGGUCUCUGAACUGAGACCAAUGAAAUUACCUGUAUUUUUCUCCUCCGGACGGGUGCUGUGAGCUUGCUCAACCCCGUCCACGGGUCGGCCUCGUAUUGCAUUACCUCGAGGAUUGGCCCACUGUCC
Molecule: small nuclear RNA, 194 nt
Organism: Protobothrops mucrosquamatus (brown spotted pit viper)
Lineage: Eukaryota; Metazoa; Chordata; Lepidosauria; Squamata; Viperidae
Product: U2 spliceosomal RNA
Exons: 1
Source: RefSeq, a predicted model, not a curated record